GGAAGGAUGGCCGAGCGGUCGAAGGCAGCGGUCUUGAAAACCGCCAAUGGGAAACCAUUCUAGAGUUCGAAUCUCUAUCCUUCCGCCA
This 88-nucleotide transfer RNA is filed under the name Arsenophonus endosymbiont of Aleurodicus dispersus. RNAcentral describes it as "tRNA-Ser". It matches the Rfam family "tRNA". From Rfam's summary of the family: Transfer RNA (tRNA) molecules are approximately 80 nucleotides in length. Their secondary structure includes four short double-helical elements and three loops (D, anti-codon, and T loops). The record is from RNAcentral. Lineage: Bacteria; Pseudomonadati; Pseudomonadota; Gammaproteobacteria; Enterobacterales; Morganellaceae.